UAAUCUGACCUGGCUGCUGAUGGCUUGUGGCUUAUUGGCUCGGUUUCUGCUCUGAAGUAGAUUCUGGCAACCCCCGAGACACUUGGUGGAGAGGAUAAGCUCAGGCACACGCGAAUGUAUGCGCAUAGACAUGGAUACACGCGUGGAACACGCAUACGUGCACACACAACCCGCAGAGGCCGUCUAUUCUUAGCCUUAUUUUCUGAAGCAACUCCUCAACUCCUGUAUGUCAUUGUUAAAUUAAUAGUUUACUGCAACUUUUGGUGAUUAAUUAUGUGUUUGGGAGAGGUGUCAGUAUACGGGAGAUAAAAAUCUUACUACAGCAGUCUCAAAACUCAGGGUUCAGCCUUCCUUCUUUACUACAGCUGCUAGCACCUGGGUGCAAGCGAGAGGGCUUAUUGGCUCAGUGUUCUGCAGAAGGAAACACGAGGGACGGGGUUACCUCGUCUCUCUUUAAGGUUUCAGAUUACUUUGCCAGUCUUUGGGCAAGAAAACUCCCUCUUUGGAUCUUCCCCACUCCAAGCGAAAAACAAUGCCCACAGUGCUCCGCUUAGGGCAAAUUGUCACCAAAGGCAACAUUACAUCCAGUGGAUCAAACAUUACUCACUGGCAGUAAAAACUCCAUUUCUAGCAUGGUGGUGCAUCAAAAAGUGGAAUCCGUGCAGUUUGCUUUUGAGACAAUUUCAAGGCUACAGCAGUUAUCUAGGAAGGAUUUCUCUAAACUGUUAUCCAACAUAAAUCAGCUUUGGCUUGGUGAUAAUUCCAUGUGGUGUGAGUCUUGAUUAAACCUUUGCUUUUGAA
Mugil cephalus (flathead mullet) is the source of this 801-nucleotide long non-coding RNA. RefSeq lists it as uncharacterized. The record is from RefSeq and is a predicted model, not a curated record. The transcript is spliced from 2 exons. NCBI's taxonomy places the organism in Eukaryota, Metazoa, Chordata, Actinopteri, Mugiliformes, Mugilidae.